RNAcentral lists this long non-coding RNA (6466 nucleotides) under Sus scrofa (pig). Its description in RNAcentral is "lncRNA (ENSSSCG00000060269.1)". Lineage: Eukaryota; Metazoa; Chordata; Mammalia; Artiodactyla; Suidae. The record is from RNAcentral.
AUUUGCAAAGAUUUUCUCCAAUUCUCUGGGUUGUCCUUUCAUUUUUUAAUGUCCUUUUUUGUGCAAAAGUUAUGAGUUUAAUUAGAUCCAUUGGGUUGUUUUUAUUAUCACUAUCUUAGGAGGUGGAUUAAAGAAGAUAUUGCUGUGAUUAAUGUCAAAGACCAUUCUGCCUAUGUUUUUCCUCUAAGAGUUUUAUAGUACAUGGCCUUAUAUUCAGGUCUUUAAUAUAUUUUGUGUUUAUUUUUGUGUAUGAUGUUAUGGAAUGUUCUAAUAUUCUCUUUUAGAUGUAGCUGGCCAGUUUUUCCAGCACCACUUAUUGAAGAGACUAUAUUUCUUCCACUGUAUAUUCUUGCCUUCUUUGUCAUAAAUUAGUUGACCCUAGGUGGUUGGGUUUAUUUCUUGGCUUUCUAUCCUGUUCCAUUGAUAUAUAUAUUUCUUUUUUGUAACAGUGCCAUAAUUUUUGAUGAAUGUAUCUUUGUAGUAUAGUCUAAAGUCAGGAAAACUGAUUCCUCAAGUUCUGUUUUUGUUUUUGUCUUUGUUUUUGUUUUCAAUAUUGCUUUGGCUGUUCUGGGUCUUUUACAAUAUUUUGUUCUUAGUUCUGUGAAGAAUGACCUUGGUAAUUUGAUAGGGAUUUCACUGAAUCUGUAGAUUGCCUUGGGUAAUACAAUCAUUUUCACAAUAUUGAUUCUUCAAGUCCAAGAGCAUGGUGUAUCUUUCCAUCUGUUUGCAUCAGCUUUUAUUUAUUUCAUCAAGGUCUUAUAAAGAAAUGUUUAAGAAAGAGAUAAAAGGAGUUCCCGUUGUGGCGCAGUGGUUAACGAAUCUGACUAGGAACCAUGAGGUUGCGGGUUCGGUCCCUGCCCUUGCUCAGUGGGUUAGCGAUCCGGCGUUGCCUUGAGCUGUGGUGUAGGUUGCAGACCGUGUUGCGCUCGGAUCCCGUGUUGCUGUGGCUCUGGCGUAGGCCGGUGGCUACAGCUCCGAUUCAACCCCUGGCCUGGGAACCUCCAUAUGCUGCGGGAGCGGCCCAAGAAAUAACAACAACAACAAUAACAACAAAAAGACAAAAAAAAGAAAGAGAUAAAAGAUUAAAGAACAAUCGUAGAAGAAUGAUACAAAAACUGAAAUGAAAAAUACUCCAGAAGGAAUCAAUUGCAGAAAAUGAGGCAGAAGAAUGAAUAAGUGGGCUGGAAGGGAGAGUGAUGGAAAUCACUGCUGCAGAACAGAAUGAAAGAAAAUAAAAAAUAAUAAAAGACAGUCUAAGCGAUCUCAGGGACAAUAUUAAACAUAUUAACAUUCAUAUUAUAGGGGACCCAGAAGGAGAAGAGCGAGAGAAAGGGCAUGAGAAAAUAUUUGAAGUGAUAAUAGAUGAAAACUUCCCUAACACGGGAAAGGAAACACUCACCUAAGUCUAGGAAGUGGAGAGAGUCCCAUAGAGGAUAAGUACAAGGAGGAACACAUUGAAACACAAAUUAAUCAAAUAGACAAAAAUUAAAGACCAAGAGAAAAUAUUUUUAAAAAAACAAGUACUUAGUACAAAUGCCAGAAGAGUACUCUGUAUAGCUCUAAAGUACUAGCCAGGACUGGGAAGUAGGGAAAAGAAGAAAGGAGAAUGUUUCAAACAGGAAAUAAAGUAUUGGCCAGAGGGAUGAGAAGUCCAAAGUGGGAAGGAGACUGAGACCCUUCAACACAGAUGAACAAAAAUAAAAGAGGAAGCAUCUCUGAGGACCAGCUGUUCUCCAGAAUGAACCAUUCCUUCACUGUCCCAUGAGGCCCCUGUCCUGGAUGCCUCCUUGGCCCUCCUUCAGCUCUUCCCCCCAUCAGGGAAGGAAACUAUGAAUCCAAUAGGAUAAAGCCCACAAUGGAGCCUGGUCCUCUUCCACCUUUUACACCAUAUUCCAGAAAACUCAUUGCCCCUAAGCUUCUUGCAGGACUUAUACCAGCUUUUUCCCCAUGUACUGCUACUGGUAUGGUCAGCCCUGGACCCAAGGGGUGACCACAAGGAAGGUGCUAUCCUGGAUAUGAUCAGAGCUUGGACUUGUUUCAAGGUAUCAAUAGGAAUGUACAUGAAGCACCUUGUAAUGCAGGAUGGAGCUGGGAGUGGGGAAAGAAGGUAGAACUAGCUGCAGACCAGCAUGGGGCUAUACCUUCUCAGGCUGCAGGAUUAUGGUGUGGAACUCCAGUGUAUGGAAAUUUUAAAAUAUAAUCUGGUCUUCCAGGUCAUGAUGAAGGUGUACCUAUCAAGAAAAUAUGUUAGACAGAUGAAUGGAUAAAGACAACAAUAUAUAUUUCAGCCAUAAAAAAAGAAAUAUUGCCAUUAUGACAACAUGGAUGAUCUUUAAGGGCAUUCUGCUUAGUGAAAUAAACCAGACUCAGAAAGACAAACACUGUGUGAUCUCACUUGUAUGUGGAAUCCAGAAGAGCCAAAGGUAUAGAAACAGAAAGUAGAUUGGUUGCCAGGGGCUGGGGUGGGGGAAAUGGGGAGAUGUUGGUCAUAAGGGCACAAACUUCCAGUUAUAAGAGGAUUAAAUUUUGGGGAUCUAAUGCGCAGCAUGGUGGCUGACUAUAGUCAACAAUACUGUAUUGUAUACUUAAAAGUUGCCAUAAGAGUAGAUAUUAACUGUUCUCACCAUAAGAACAACAACUAAAUAAUAAUUAUGUGGGUUAAAGAAUGUGUUAAUUAACUUUAUUGUGGUAAAUAUUUUGCAAUAUAUACAUAUUUCAAACACAUUGUACAUCUUAAAUUUUUAUAAUGUUAUAUGUCAAUAAAACUGGGAGAAAAAAUUUUAAAAAAAGAAAAGAAAAUCAAUAAAUAACCCACAAUGGAAUUUCCAUAACCUGUUUCAGCAAAAACUCUGCAGACCAGAAGGGGUGGCAUGAUAUGUUUAAAGUGAUAAAAGUGAAAAACCUACAACCAAGAAUAGUCUACCCAAACAGAGUCUCAUUCCAAUUCCACAAAGCAAUCAAAAUUUUACAGAGAAGCAAAAGCUAAGAAAAUUCAGCACUACAAAACCAGGCUGGAAACAAAUGCUAAAGGAAAUUCUGUAGGCAGAAACCAGAAUAAUAUUAAUGGGAAAGCUUACUUGUAGGCAAACAUUCAGUAAAAUUAGGAAAUUAUCCACACACAAAUAUGAUAUCAAAACCAACAAUCAUGAGAAAAGGACAGUACAAAUGCAUAGUAUUGGAAACAUUUGAAAUUAAGAGACCAGCACCACUCUGGAAGACAGUAUGGAAGUUCUCUAAAAAUAUAGAUCUAGUUCUAAAUAUAGAACUACCAUAUUAGCCUACAAUCCCACUCCUGAACAUGUAUCCAGACAAAACCUUAUUUUGAAAAGAUACAUGCACCCCCCAAUGUACAUUGCAGCAUUAUUUACAAUAGCAGAGACAUGUAAGCCACCUAAAUGUCCAUCAACAGAGGAAUGGAUAAAGAAGAUAUGGUACAUAUAUACAAUGGAAUAUUAUUCAGCCAUAAAAAAUGAAACAGUGUCAUUUCCUAGGGAUUAACAUAGGGAUUAGACCUAUGGGAUAGACCUAGGGAUUAACAUACUGAGUGAAUAAGUCAGAGAGAGAGAGAAAAAUAUCAUAUGAUAUCAAUUAUGUGUGUAAUCUAAUAAAAAUUAUACAGGGAAUCAAGUUUAUAAAACAGAAACAGAUUCAUAGAUUUCAAAAGCAAUCUUAUGGUUACCACAGGGGAAAAUGUGGAGGGGAGGGAGGAAUUGAGAGUGUAGUAAUAACAUAUACACAUUAUAGAAUAGAUUAUUAACAGGUCCCUACAGUAUAGCUCAGGGAGAUAUACUCAAUUGUUUGUAAUAACCUAUAUGGGAAAAAAGAAUGGAUAUAUAAAUGGCCAAUUCACUCUGCUGUACACCUGAAAGUAAUGCAACAUUGUAAGUAAACUAUUCUCUAAUAAAAUGUAUUAAAAAAUAAAAAAAUUAAGAGCUUGGCAACUUAAAACAAUAUUGUAUAUAUACAAACUACUGUAUCAAAACCUCAUCUUAACUGCAAACUGAAAUCUGCAAUAGAUAUUCACACAAACACACACAUAUACAGAGAGAGAGAAAGUAAUCCAAACACAACACUAAGGAUAGUCAUCAAAUCACAAGAGAAUAGAAUGAAAUGGGUGGGAUGGAAGAGACCUACAAAAACAAGUCCUAAACAAUUAACAAAAAGGCAGUAAGACCUGCUAUAUAGCAUAGGGAAUUCUACUCAAUAUACUGUGAUAACCUAUAUGGGAAAAGAAUCUGAAAAAGAGAGGAUAUGUGUGUGUGUAUAACUGAAUCACUUUGUUGUGCAGCAGAAAUUUUCACAUUAUAAAUCAACUGUAUUUCAAUAAAACCUUAAAAAUGAAAGGAAAAAACGCUUUCAUUUAAAUAAUGACAAUGAGAACAUACAUAUCAAUAAUUAUUGUAAAUGGGUCAAUUGCUCCAAUCAAAAUAUACAAACUGGGAGUUACCACCAUGGCUCAGCAGAAAUGAAUCUGACUAGCAUCCAUGAGGAUAUAGGUUUGAUCCGUGGUCUUGCUUGGUGGGUUAAGGAUCCAGCAUUUUCCUGAGGUGUGGUGUAGGUUACAGAUGCAGCUAAGAUCUGGCAUUGCUCUGGCUGUGGCAUAGGCUGGCAGCUACAGCUCCAGUUCUACCUUAGCACAGGAACCUCUGUAUGCUGCAUGUGCAGCCCUAAAAAGAAAAAAAAAAGAUACAUGUACCCAUAUAUUCAUCACAGCACUAUUCACAAUAGCCAAGACAUGGAAACAACCUAAAUGUCCAUUGACAAAUGAAUGGAUUAAGAUAUGGUGUAUAUGCACACAAUGGAAUACUAUUCAGCCAUAAAAAAGAACAAAGCAAAGCCAUUUGCAAGCAACAUGGAUGGAACUAGACAAUCUCAUACUAACUGAUGUAAGUUGGAAAGAGAAAACAAAUACCAUAUGAUAUCACUUAUAUCUGGAAUCUAAUAUAUGGCACAAAUGAACCUAUCUGCAAAAUGAAACAAACUCAUAGACUUGGAGAACAGACUUGUGGUUGCCAGGGGGGGAGACUGGGAUGGACUGGGAGUUUGGGAUUAGUAGAUGCAAAUUAUUGCAUGUGGAGUGGAUAAGCAAUGGGAUCCUGCUGUACAGCACAGAUAACUACAUCUAGUCACUUGUGAUGAGCAUGAUGGAGGAUAAUGUGAGCAAAACAAUGUGUGUGUGUGUGUGUGUGUGUGUAAAACUAGGUUACUUUGAUGUACAGCAGAAACUGACAGAACAUUGUAAAUCAACUAUAAAAGAAAAAGUAAAAAUCUUACAAAAAAUAAAAAUAAUCUGAGUGAAAAGUCAAGUGGUGGAGCUUCCUAUUACUCCUCUUAACAAAACUUUCUUCAGCAAAGAGUUUGGGAUCAAAAAAGAUCAGUUAGAUUAAUCUACCUAAAAAGAUCUCUGAUUAUAAUAUUCUCUGACUCAAAAAUUCUCAGUGCCUUCCCUCCCAGUUACCUUAUGAAUGAAAUCUAUGUUCCCUGGCUUGGGUUUCUGGGCCCUCCAUGAUGUUACUCUUAUUCCAGUGUAUCUUCCACUCUUAAUAUUCCUACACACUUCUUCCUUUUCUCUUCUGUGUCCAAAUUGAUCUACCUGCUUUUCUUUUGAACCCAUCCAAGCCUUCCUAUUUUUGUGACUUUGCUUACACAACUUUAUUCAUUAUGUCAUCCCUUUCAUAUCUACAUGGAAAAACAUAAUCUGUCCAUUAAGAACCUGGUCUAGUGCCCCUUCUUCUGUAAAUGUUUCUUUAAAUUAACAGGUUCUCUGACUAUAACUAUCCAAAACCAAUGUGAAAUCUCUUUCUCCUAUAAAUUCCCACAUCACUUUGUUUGUAUCUCUCUCCUACAUGGAAAGGUUUGAAGAUGCCUAAAAUAGACUCUUGUCCUAAGCUUGAAUUAUACCACUACAUACUCAGCAUUAGAUUUUACACUGCCCUUCCUUAGAAUCUUCUUUUAAAAUAUAAACUCAGAUUUCCCAUUGUGGCACAGUGGAAACAAAUCUGACUAGGAACCAUGAGGUUGUGGGUUCAAUCCCUGGCCACACUCAGUAGGUUAAGGAUCUGGGAUUGCCAUGAGCUUUGGCAUAGGUCACAGACACAGCUUGGACCUGGUAUUGCUGUGGCUGUAGCAUAGGCCAGCAGCUGUAGCUCCAAUUUGACCCCUAGCCUGGGAACCUCCAUAUGCUGUGGGCACAGCCCAAAAUUCACACUCUUUUGCAAGGUAUCAUUUAGUCUCUAUACUCUUAAUGUGAAUUGGCUUUUCAGAUUUCUUCUUCUUCCUAGAGUGAAAGAUGAGUCAUCAUGAAGUAUGGCUUCAUUUAGAUUAGGGAAUAGGUGGUGCUAAAAUGGUAGGCAAGAACAACUAAGAUAUUUAACCAAGGCAUUUAUUUAUCAUAUAUUUAUGCAGUACAAUCUAUGCGUCAGGCAACAAUGGUCCCAGUUUCUGAGCUGGUGGGCCAGAAUUCUAG